This 253-nucleotide ribosomal RNA is filed under the name uncultured bacterium. RNAcentral's name for it is "partial 16S ribosomal RNA". It matches the Rfam family "Bacterial small subunit ribosomal RNA", at positions 524 to 776 of the family's 1533-position model. The record is from RNAcentral.
UACAGAGGUCUCAAGCGUUGUUCGGAUUCAUUGGGCGUAAAGGGUGCGUAGGCGGCGCGGUAAGUCGGGUGUGAAAUCUUGGAGCUUAACUCCGAAACUGCAUUCGAUACUGGCGUGCUUGAGGACUGGAGAGGAGACUGGAAUUCAUGGUGUAGCAGUGAAAUGCGUAGAGAUCAUGAGGAAGACCAGUGGCGAAGGCGGGUCUCUGGACAGUUCCUGACACUGAGACACGAAGGCUAGGGGAGCAAACGGG